AUACGUAGGGUGCAAGCGUUAAUCGGAAUUACUGGGCGUAAAGCGUGCGCAGGCGGUUUUGUAAGACAGAGGUGAAAUCCCCGGGCUCAACCUGGGAACUGCCUUUGUGACUGCAAGGCUAGAGUACGGCAGAGGGGGAUGGAAUUCCGCGUGUAGCAGUGAAAUGCGUAGAUAUGCGGAGGAACACCGAUGGCGAAGGCAAGCCCCUGUGCCUGUACGGACGCGCAGUCACGAAAGCGUGGGGAGCAAACAGGAUGAGAUACCCUGGUAGUCCACGCCCUAAACGAUGUCAACUGGUUGUUGGGUCUUCAUUGACUCAGUAACGAAGCUAACGCGUGAAGUUGACCGCCUGGGGAGUACGGCCGCAAGGUUGAAACUCAAAUGAAUUGCCGGGG
RNAcentral lists this ribosomal RNA (395 nucleotides) under uncultured bacterium. RNAcentral's name for it is "partial 16S ribosomal RNA". It matches the Rfam family "Bacterial small subunit ribosomal RNA", at positions 523 to 918 of the family's 1533-position model. The record is from RNAcentral.